UGAGCACUAGCAUGUCUGAUCAGUAUGAAUU
RNAcentral lists this non-coding RNA (31 nucleotides) under Rattus norvegicus (Norway rat). Lineage: Eukaryota; Metazoa; Chordata; Mammalia; Rodentia; Muridae. The record is from RNAcentral.